RNAcentral lists this ribosomal RNA (507 nucleotides) under uncultured bacterium. RNAcentral describes it as "bacterial SSU rRNA". It matches the Rfam family "Bacterial small subunit ribosomal RNA", at positions 17 to 518 of the family's 1533-position model. The record is from RNAcentral.
AUCUGGCUCAGAUUGAACGCUGGCGGCAGGCUUAACACAUGCAAGUCGAGCGGGGAAGGUUGCUUCGGUAACUGACCUAGCGGCGGACGGGUGAGUAAUGCUUAGGAAUCUGCCUAUUAGUGGGGGACAACAUUCCGAAAGGAAUGCUAAUACCGCAUACGCCCUACGGGGGAAAGCAGGGGAUCUUCGGACCUUGCGCUAAUAGAUGAGCCUAAGUCGGAUUAGCUAGUUGGUGGGGUAAAGGCCUACCAAGGCGACGAUCUGUAGCGGGUCUGAGAGGAUGAUCCGCCACACUGGGACUGAGACACGGCCCAGACUCCUACGGGAGGCAGCAGUGGGGAAUAUUGGACAAUGGGCGCAAGCCUGAUCCAGCCAUGCCGCGUGUGUGAAGAAGGCCUUUUGGUUGUAAAGCACUUUAAGCGAGGAGGAGGCUCCUUUAGUUAAUACCUAAAGAGAGUGGACGUUACUCGCAGAAUAAGCACCGGCUAACUCUGUGCCAGCCGCCGC